Pan troglodytes (chimpanzee) is the source of this 1626-nucleotide long non-coding RNA. RefSeq lists it as uncharacterized. Lineage: Eukaryota; Metazoa; Chordata; Mammalia; Primates; Hominidae. The record is from RefSeq and is a predicted model, not a curated record. The transcript is spliced from 5 exons.
CUUCUUUGAACAACCCAGUUCCAAUAGCUGUGAAACAUAAAGAGACAAGCAGGGGAAGAUUUUCCAGAAAGGCUGGUGGCUAGGCACAAGCAAAUUACACCAUUAAUGUCAUCCUGGCGAAUGAAACAAGAGAAUAGUAUUUAUCAGAGAAAGUCUGGUGAGUUGAAGUCCAAGACCCCAGGAAAAAACUAACCCUGCUGGGCUGCCCCUCCUUCGGAGUGGGACUAUGAUCCUCAUCAGGCCAAUCCACGUCACAGAAUGGUCUAGGCAUUGGAUGAGUGCCUCAAUCUGAGCCAAUGAAGGUCAUUGCUGAGACAUUUUACUGGUUGCCAGGCUGCAGGCAUCCCAGGCUUCCUGCUGCCCUCAUGUCUACAACCUGUCGUCUGGAACAUUCCAGGAGCCACUUUUAUCACUUGCAGCAAUCUUCUUCAAAUACCACAGACUGGGCAAUUUAUAAAUGAUGGAAGUUUAUUUGGCUCAUGGUUCUGGAGACUGGGAAGUCCAAGAACAUGGCACUGUCAUCUGCUGUUCAUAAAACCUAGGGGAGAUUUUCUGACCUCACCCUGAAGCAGUUCCUAAGAUCCUCACUUUAGAGAUGCCCUCACUAUAUCCAGAAGAAAGAAGCAUCCGUAUCUCCGAACACAAAACGUCACAGAGAAGAAUCUGAACAAACAGGCCUUGCUAAGUUUCCCUUGGUUUUUUACCAUCAGAUCACACUGUUUUGCCCAAUCAUAUUUCUCCACAACUGUCCACUCUUCACUAAACCUAAGAGAGAUAUAUAUAUAUUUCACUGUUUCUUUGGGUUUUCAUUUCCUUAUGAAGACUCAUGUCACAUAAAACCUACAUUAACUAAAUGUGUCUAAUUUUCUCUGUUAAUCUGUCUUAGGUAAAAGGGACUUCAGCCACGAACCUAGGAAUGGGGAGAUAAAGAUGUUUUUCCUCCCCUACAUGGUGAAGAGAAGAGGGUUUGCUAUCACUCUCCUCCCUACCACGUUUCUCUUUUGGAGGCCUGAGUUCAAAACACUUAUAUAGUCAUCACCUUUGAAAUUAAUUUGAAUUUAAUUUCUUACUGAUUUAAAUGUUUUGGAAGUUUCCAUUUAGAUAAAUCUUUUUCACUGGUGGAAUAUCUAGUGAAGGUUGCAGGGGGAUCUAAUUGAGAACAUUUUCUUAAUGAUUGUACCACUUCAGAAGAAAGAGAAUAUACUUAAAAUACUAAAAAAUUAAAUACUGGAUUUGUUUUUCCAAUGCUGCAAAAUAAUUAGGACUGCAAAGAAAAAGAAAUCUUGAGGAGGACCCUUUCCUCUUUAUUUAAAAGGAAAAAUAAGUCAAUUUCCCAAAGAAACAGAAGCUUAGAUUUUUAUGGGACCCCAGGGUGCUACUAAUACUACCCCAACACUAUUGUUAUACUCCAAUACAACUUACGCCAAUACUUGACACUAAUGUCAGUACAAUAGUCAAAAUUACUAUUAUUUGUAUUCACAUAUUUUAAGCCACACAUAUUUAUUUCAGCAUCAAUGUGUGUUUAGGGCUUCUGUAUCUUCUAGGCCAACACUCUCUCAAGCACAGACUUGAAUCCAGACAGUCUGGCUCCAGGACCCAGGCUCUUAAUAAAUGUACUGUACUGUC